ACUCCUACGGGAGGCAGCAGUGGGGAAUAUUGCACAAUGGGGAAACCCUGAUGCAGCCAUGCCGCGUGUGUGAAGAAGGCCUUCGGUUGUAAAGCACUUUCAGUAGGGAGGAAGGUAGUGUAGUUAACACCUGCAUUAUUUGACGUUACCUACAGAAGAAGCACCGGCUAACUCCGUGCCAGCAGCCGCGGUAAUACGGAGGGGUGCGAGCGUUAAUCGGAAUUACUGGGCGUAAAGCGCAUGCAGGCGGCCUGUUAAGUCAGAUGUGAAAGCCCGGGGGCUUAACCUCGGAAUUGCAUUUGAAACUGGCAGGCUAGAGUCUUGUAGAGGGGGUAGAAUUUCAGGUGUAGCGGUGAAAUGCGUAGAGAUCUGAAGGAAUACCAGUGGCGAAGGCGGCCCCCUGGACAAAGACUGACGCUCAGAUGCGAAAGCGUGGGGAGCAAACAGGAUUAGAUACCCUGGUAGCACAGAG
This 472-nucleotide ribosomal RNA is filed under the name uncultured bacterium. RNAcentral describes it as "bacterial SSU rRNA". It matches the Rfam family "Bacterial small subunit ribosomal RNA", at positions 335 to 799 of the family's 1533-position model. The record is from RNAcentral.